UAAAGAAUUCAUAUUUUCAAAAGAAAGGGCUGUUAUUCUAAGGAGUCGCCUAUACAGAAAAGGAAGCAGUAAAACAAAAGAAAUAUACGUCAAAAAUGACGUAGCCACUUGAGUUGAUUCAGUCAUUAGUAAACUAUACAGGGAUGAUCGUCAUCACAGCAGCGUUUCUUUAUCUUCUUUUCCAUAUAUUUCCACUCAAGAUGUAAUAAGGAAAGUGUUCCCACGUGCUGCCGUGCGUGCGUGUGGAGACUUUACUUUGAAGCAUCGUCCAGCAGACACGCCCGUGUUGAGAGCAAAUGAUUGAAUGUGUAACGAUUUCAUGGUUUUGAUAAUUGGAAAUGUUUUCUGAUUAGGAGUAUUCCCUUAUGUUUGCGUGUGUGUGUAUGUGUGCUGUAUCUAUGCAGUUUGUCUAGUUUAAUGCAGUUUGAGAGGCGUAACUUAGUCCUGACUCACAGAGGCGACAAGAUUUCAGGAAGUAAUUAUCUUCGUAACCCCCCAACAUGUAGGUUUUGUUCCUUUGUUUUUUGGCUUACUCUAACUUUUAAACAAAUGAGAUAUAAAGUGUUAAAUAAUGAGCUUAAGAAGGGCAGACAGGCAGAUUUUCUUUAUCUUUGGACUAGUCUUGCAUAACCAGAUCUCCAGAGUGCUGCAUCAACACUGGAGAAAAGUCUGUACUUGUAUCAUCAUGGUAAAAAAGGGAAAAAUGCACUGACUCAUAUGCAUAGCUGAUUGCUGGGAGCUUGGAGCAACCGGAGGAGUGUUGCUGUUUGCACUGUUAGCACAGGAGCCUUAGAGGUGAGCCCUGUCUGUAAAAAUGUCUACACCCCCAUAAAAGAAAAGGUAAGAGCUGCUAGCUUUUUAGGUAUGUACCGUUAGCAACCAGGUAAACAUUAGGGAAAAUAGCUUGGAUGUUGUUGUCGUUCUGUAUAGUGACUAGGAUUUGAAAACUAUAACAUGCAGAUAGUGGAAGAGGGGUAACUAGGCGCCCAAUGGCAGGUUUAUACCCACAGACUACAUAUGGUGAGUCAGACUACCUUUUGAUAGGACCAGGCUAGCUGUUUCCUGUUUUUUGUGCUAAGCUAAGCUAAUCACCUGCUGGCUGUACCAUUAAAUUUAACAUGCAAACAUGGGAUUCGUAUCAACCUUUUUAUCUAACUCUCAGACUGAAGGCAAUUUUUUUUUUUCACCGAAAAUGUCCAACUAAUUCUUAAGGGCUCUGUGGACCUUCUGUGUUCUUUUUAUGUCCUGUCAAAACAAUCAUGAUUAUUAUGUGUAAAUUGCUACAAAUUGUUACAUAGAGCCUUUCCAGUGAUUGCUUAUAGACAUAGAAAAUCACCUUUAAGUCUCAUUUAUCAGAGACUGUCACUGUCAACGUGAAAUCCAGUCUCUGUUAGUCAAGGUUAAGUGAUAGUAAAGUGGAACAUUCAAGCGAAAAAGUUUUAUCAGACCUUGCAGAAUCAUUACCUAUCACCUGGUUCAUCACUUUGGUCUUUAAUAGUGUUUCUCCAUCCUCAGUAAUGUAACACAAGCAUGUUUGACCCUAUUUAAGUUCAGACUAAGGAUCUUUCAUCUCCACUCAGUGACCAGCGAGCUAUUUUUUUUAAGCUGAUUACUGUAAUAACCCGUAAAAGUUAUGCCUCUGUUUCUCAGAAACGACGGCUCUCUUUUCACUGCCCAUUGUCAUUUACGAUCUAGAUCCACGAUGUGAAUGUGGACUCCUACAGUUGAAAUAGACCACAAACAGCGGGGGACUUUGUGCAGACAAUGAGCCCUCUGCAAAUACACUCUAUAAAUGAUCUUGUGAACCUCUUGCCCUUGCCAGCACGCACUGAAACACAUACAAGGCUUAGACAAUGCAUAAAUAUAUCUUAACAUAUGUCACACGCAAUGCCAGUUUAUGUAUCAGUUACAUAGGAAUGAUUUUGACUGGCUUCGAUGUAGAGACAUAAUCAACUUAAAGUCCAGAUUAUGCAAGAUGGACAAAAUAGACCAAACUCAACAAAGAAAUGAUCCCAAUUCUGAUCUUUUCGAAACGAUAAAGGCCUCACAUUGAUUUAGCCUGACAGCCCUCAGGAGCUUCCAGGAAAUGUGACUGAGAAAGUAUCGAACACAUGUCCGUCAGCAGCUGCAGCAAAGGAGCUGUUUUCUCCAUAAGUCAGAAGUGGAGACUGGGCCAGUUAACAAUAACAGGGCAGCUUGCCACACCGCAGUGUUGUGUAACCUACAAGCAAGCACGAAGUUUGGGAAAUUUCUGCUCGCCUGUGUUCAUGAAUGGGAGCGAACAAGGACCCUCAAAAAGUCAUUCUCUAACCACAUUUGUUCUAUGUUUUUCGGAUUCGCUCGAAGUUAGCAUUUCACUUAAUUGUGUAAUGUCAACACACUUGGUAGUAUUGAGCAAUCUCACUCCCUCCCUUUUUCUUUCACUCAGUUUCACACACUCCGUCGGUGAUGGGAUAAACAGGCCUCCAUAACAGCACCCCGAGACAAGUUAAACACCCUCCUAUGCCCCUGUAAAGCAGUGACACUAUAAAGACCGCCAAAUGGCCUGAGAUAAAUGGCAAGGAGGUUCAUGUUUACGUCCAUUUCAAAGCAGCCAAUAGAUCUGGGAGGUAUUUCGGUGCAAAUAUAAGCCACAUGUGAGAUCUGAGGGUCUGAGUCAAACUUCAAAUACCUUCCCAGUGAAGGGCAUGAGAAGCCACAUGAGGUCAACGUUUGGCACCGCGAUCAUUCACUUCCCUCCGCUGCUCACACCUUCAUCAUAUGCACACAUGUGAGGACGCAGGAGCAUGCACAAACCCUACAUGUGACAUGUGACUCCUUUGAAACUCGAACCCGAAGGCCAGCAUCAGUCAGGUUUGUAGUUCUUGGAACACUCUGACCAAUGCUAGAUGAUCAAUUUUGAUUAUACCAACACUCCAUUAUUAAAAAUCUAAAAUGAGUCCAGAUGAGAUGGUGGGACAAAACCGUGGGUGCCGGGUCAUUCUGGAUGGGAGACGGAGCCCAGUCGGUCUCAGCAGGUGGGAGAGACAGGGUGCCAGACUCUGGCUCCAGCCUCAGAUCCAGCUCUGCUCCUGGGGCUGAGGAGUGGACUGAGGAUCCUGUCUCUGCAGGAAGUCAUAACCAGCAACACCUGAAAGCUGUCCUGCUUCAUUCCGGUUAAAAUGUGAUAUUGGUUUAGUCCUGGUGUGUUUCCCUGCGUGCUGCCUCUUGUCUGUGUUGCCAUUUUAACUCUCUGUGAAGAGUCUAGCUUUCAUGUGCAGCACCAUGUCUAAACGGACUCAGCAUCAUCUCAGACCCCCAUUACAACCCCACUCAGACUCUGUGGCACCAGAGCCAUCAGUGUGUCUGUCUGUGAGUGUGUUUGUAGAACACACAUUGACACUGACAACACAUGGCAGUUCACACACAAAAUGCCUCAAAUAUCUGUCAUGAUGAUGGAAGUGCUGGACACUUCAGGGGACGAGGACUUCUUGUUAUAUUAUAAUAAUCUUAUUUGAAAAACAUGUCAGUGGGCUAAAUUUAGAGAAUAACAUGUAUGCAUAAGCUGUUUUAGACACUUUGUAACGCUACAUAACACAUGCAUACUUGAAGAAACACAUUUCAAAGGUGGCUCGGAAACUAUAGGGGGCAGCAUAACCACAAACAGCUGCUCACGAUACUGGACUUGUUUACCAUACUGUGGUGUAGCUAUCUUCAGCUGUAGUGACAGCAGCCGAGGUAAGUGGCCCUUUUUAGUCUAAGUAAUGAACUCACUGCUUUUACAUCCUCUAGCUGAAACUAUGAGGGGCUGUCAGAUCACCUCUUGCAGUGCAAAGUUCAUAACACGGGAUAGCUGGGGCUAGCUGGUUAGCAUGCUUACUUCUGCAGAUAUUUCUGCAACAACUCACUCAGUGUCCCUCAGCUCUAUGGAGUGUUUUGGCUAAUGUUUAGAUUUUUUAAGGGCCCAUAACGUUGAUACAACUGGAGCCUUUUUCCAGGAACAUAGCUCUGAUAAACCAACCUUACCAGCACCAAAUGGCAGACAAACAUUUAUAGUGGUGCAUUUUAUUGAUAAACAGCCAGAUAUAUAUUUUUUUUGGUGGUGGAGACCAAAACCGAGCAAAUAAGUAGGUGAAUACUGGACUUGCUUUCAGUUACAAGGUCACCAGAAACAUAAGUCUAAAUUAAAGACGUUUAAUGGGGGAUUUGUUUGCUUGCAUUUUUAACAUAACUACAAGUGGUCAGUGGUCUGUUGACAGGUUGUUGCCCUUCCUCAAGUGGCUGAAAUCCAGCAUUUCUACUUUAAAAGCCAUUGUUUGUAUGAGAACUGUAACACUUAUUUUAAAUUCUGUCUGUUAAGAAUGCCAAAGAAUCUAAAAUGAAUUCCAUAAUGCACAGGGUGUCAGCCAUUAUCUCUUUUUUUUUGGUGGUGGUAUCUAAGACCACCAUGGUUGAGACCCUGAAGAGAAUUUAUGGCGAGGACAGUGGCUUAUUUAACAAGUCACAUCCUGUUUAUCAAGAAUGAAAUGUCAAUAGUUCACAGUUAACUCGCAAUUCAGAAAGUUUCUACGAAAGGGCUUUUGUGCGAUGGUCUGUGUGUGUGUGUGCAUGUGUGUUUGUGCUUUUCCUUUCAGCAUGUGUGCAUUAGCUCAUCCAAAUGAGUAAUAAGUAGCCGGAAGCCAUAAAAGUACAGAGUUGACUCAUCUAGGUCUGACGGCCCCGAAGGCUGUCCCGAAGACGAGAGUUCAGAAACAGAAAAUCACUCAAACUACACAACAACACAACACAACACCAUCUUAGCUCAGCUCUCAACAUGCAAAGAUUCCCCAUUCUUUCUGUCAUGCAGACGAUACAAUGGACCAAGUGUAUACGCUUGUUUUCAGAUUUACUGACAACCUCUGUACUGCAACAACCAUGGAACAACCAUGGAAGGCUCAACUUCCAUGGUUGUUGCUCUCCAUGGACUGUAGACUGUAGACUGCAGUUUAGACUGAUGAAUCCUGACUGCAGAAUGUCUCACUUCCAGAAAACUCAAGUUAAACACAGAUAUUUUUAACAGCGCUCCUGGCUGUACAACCACAGUUGAGGAGCCAAUUAUUUAGUUGAACUCAUCUCUGACUACAAGAAAUAGGUUUCUUUUUGAGUCUGCUGAACCACACUAGCUUACUUUCAGUUGUUAACAGCACCCAUGUUACACCAUCAGAUGAAAAACAACAAUUCAAAUCCCUCACCUCUUCACAGAUCUCCCACAGAUCCCCUCACCAAAAAUGAUGAUUCUAUUUUUGCUAAAUUCCAAUAAGGAGUCCCUGAACUGCACUUAACAGUGCAAUAUUUAAGAAUUGGCCACCUGUUGAGCCCAUACUCCCAACAAACAGAGGCAGCAUAUCACUCGAGAAGGUAGCUGCUGCUAAAUAUAAAGCUUAAUUAGCUGUGCAUGCAGCUAGCUGGAGAAUUAGUGUUAAUACCACGAGCACAGGUGCUUUGGUCCUUCACAUUUUUUUGUGUGUUUUUUUUCACAGUUGCAGAGAUGUGGCUUUAUUGAUAGAACAGCUGAAGACGUGACAGGAAACAGGCUGAAAGAUGGGGAGUGACAUGCAGCAAAGGGCCGCAGGCCGGGACCCGAACCCGAGGGCACUGCAGCGAGGACAGAGCCUCUGUACAUGGAACGCCUGCUUUACCCACUGAGCUAAACGGCAGGUAUCAGUUCUUGGACUUUAUUAGCAGUUAAACUCAACAGAAACUGCAUAACAUCAAUCCACCAAUCACAACCGAAGAACACUCGCUGAUAUUUUAGAAUGUUGCUGAACAUUCUAAAAGAGCAAAGCCUUUUGAGGCUUUGAAAUCAUCACAAGACAUUAAUAGGCUUCAUUUCAUUUACAUUUCUUUUACGUUUCAUUUACUGAACAACGAAGUGACACACAGAGCACCGACUCUAACAAACGCGGAGACAUGAAGAGAGAGGAGAACAACCCGGUGUCCAGCCAAGCUAGCACCAGCCAGGAGGAGAACCUUUUGCAAGAAAAUAGCGACUUGCACCGAGGAAGUGAUCCACAGAGCACAGGUUCAGAAAUCACAACCAGAUGACAACAACCGAGGACAUUAUAAUCACUCCCAGGUUAAAGGGGCAAUACGUAACAAGUGGCCACCUUGAAUUCAUCCUGCCAACAAAUAGGGGUUGUUAGCUGUGCAACUGGCCGGCCUGCCGGGGAAGUCCUGGUGUUCACACUGCAGGUACAGGAGCUUUGGACCACUGGGACAGAGAGAGGUUUUCAGGCCCGGCGCUAGCUGGUUAGCAUGCUAACGUCAGUAGAUAUCGCUACAACACAGUGCAUGGUCGUCUUCGUUGUAACAUCAACACUGUUAUUUCUUCACAUUCUGUUGAUAAUCUUCGCUCAGUUUACGUAUUGCCCCUUUAAUAUCUGUCAAUAAUAAAAUCAGUUCAGCACAUUAUUCGACUGUGUCCGGCUAGUCUGCCGAGUGGGAACCUACAUGAUCUUCCCUCAGUGUUACAUCACAGGUUUAUCGCGGGGUCGCAGGUGGAUCUGGACGGGAAAAUCAAAACAUCCCUCGACAAAACGCAGUGGAUUCCUUGUGGAGAACGUGGAUACAGAACAUCCUUAUGAUUCUAAUAUCAGCGAAUGUGUAGGGAGACGAGGAAGCGGCUAUUUUUGAGAGCGGCGCAAAAGGACCUUGGCUGUGUUUAUAGAGUGUGUGUGUGUGUAUGUGUAUACGAAAUGAGCAUGUGAAUGUGUAUGUGUGAGACUGUUCCAUAGGCGUGUCCGUCACGCCACUGGUGACCCUCAGAUUCCCUCCUGUGCGACGUCAUGUCACUUCCCCCCUUUGUUUCCCCGCUCAAGAGGACCUUUCUAAAAAUGUCUUUUUGUUUAAAGGUUCUCAACAGCCCUCCUUCCUCCUUUGCUUGGCAGUGUUGUGUGUGUGUGUGUGUGUGUGUGUGUGUUCUUACAUUAGUGAUACCUUAUAUAGUUGCUGCCAAAAACAGGAACUGUUGAGAUGCAGAUGAGGAUGCUGAUGGGUGUGUAUUUUCCCCUCCGGUUUGUAUCCUAUAUACAGUCAAGGAUCCUGUUUCAUAACACACUCUGGAUGUGGUGAGGUGCAACGGUGCAGACCUGCUGUUACCACACACGUUAUUUGAAGUGUGACACAAAGUCUCUAACAUGAUGUACCUCCCACACUGUGGCAUUCACCUCUGCACACAGUGACCUCUGGUCCCGACCACAUCGGCGUUGGGACACAAAGCGUCUCCUGAGUCUUUUUAGGAACUGGCAAUGAUAUUCUGACAGGCAUGAUGUAACCCUCUCUCUGGGUCACCGUGACAAUGUCGAGGUGUUGCAGCAAGGACACAGUGAAACAGUGUUAAAACGUUACGGGAUUUCAUCAAUUUCAAUGGGGUUCAGUGAUACUCAGAAACUGGCCUCCGCGUGCACAAACCUACACUUAACUUGAAGUCCAAGGGAAGCACACAUGCUUCUUUCCUUGAUGGAAAGUGGCUUUUGUCCAGGUAAAUAAGUCACUUCCAGAUUUCCAACACUUCCAAAAGUUUCCUCACUGUCGCGGACCAACAAUAAAAACUGGCACUGCUCCAUUCAGAGGCAGAGGUGUAGGCGGGAGAGCUGAUAAGCCAGCGUCAGGGGACCAGUCGAGACCAAGCCCUGCCCUGCCUUUGUGACAGCGACUGUGCAGACUGACCGUGUGUGGGCUGUGUGUGUAGACUGUAUAGUUAGUAUUAGUCAAAAUCUAAGAGUUCGUAAAUUGCCUUCCGAAAUAACAACUGGUAUGAGUGUGUUCUGAUUAUUAAGACUUGUCUGGGUGACUAAAACUACUUGGUACAGAGGACUUUGGCCACCACCAGACAAUAACAUCAACAUCGUACCAAUGAAUCACAUUCAUUUCCCAUGCAGCUACUUUAAAAAUCACAAAAAUGAUCACAGUAGAGUGCAUACCUCCGCCAAGGCCCAACGAUCUCCUUUUGUAUUCACUCACUGAAACCAGCCACCUAAAUAUGCCUCAGUGACUUAGUAUCAAUACAUUGUUCCCUUAGAAAUUAACAAAAAUUUUGGAAAAAAGCAACGAAAAAAGAAGAAAGAAAAUAUUCUUGGAUGUGUCCUUUUAUCCGGAUCCGCCCCCAAAAGUUAAUAAGGUCUAUUCUGUGCUGAGCCCAUCCUCCAUCCAGAUUUCGUGGAAAUCCCUUUGGUUGUUUUUGUGUAAUCCUGCUGACAAACCAACCAAACAAACAACAAACGGACGGAAAACAUUACCUCCUUGGCGGAGGUAAUAGUUCCUCACAAUACAGGGAUGUUGACUGGAGGCCAUGUGACUUACUGUCACCGAUUUCAACAAGACCACAAGAGGUCGCUUGUAAGGAAAACACAAAUGGUUUUGCUUUUGAGCACUUGAGCAUCGAUGCUGUUCUUCCGGGUGAGGACUUUUUCUCCUAACCUGUGGCCUCAGUUUUGGUAUCAUCAAAGGUUAAAAGUGCACGUUAACUGUAAAGGUGUGUGUGUGUGUGUGUGUGUGCUGCUUGUGUUUGUGAGAUAUGCAACAUACAGAAAAAAAUAAUAUUAAUAGAGAUUUUGUGAAACUGUGAGUCCACUGUCAUCGUCUCCUGUCAUCUCUCGCCCUCUCUUCCCCUUCAUCCCCUUUGACUCACGUCCAUGCAGUCAACAGGGGAUCCUAUCUUCGUAUCUUCCUCGUCUGGCAUGCCAUCCGGAAACUCAAUCCCAACCGAGCAGCUUCCCACCCAGCUUUCUUAAAGGCCAUCAUAGUCCAUUGCUCUAUUUACAGGCCGGUUCUUGCGAGCCAUUGUGCUGCACACUCCUUCUGCAAGGAGCUCUUCAUUCGUGCCACACUCAGUCAUGUCAGGAAAUACGACUGAAUGAACAGUAAUUGUUCAAUAUUUCAGUGAGCUUCUUUGAACAGCGGUGCAGGGAAGAAUCUUUGGAAACUGUGUCGUCGGCAUUAGGACCUCCUUUAAGAGACAGUUUGGAAAGGGAAGAUUCACGACGUCAGGAACAUUAAAGCGUUACUGCGUCAUCUUGGGAAACCAAAAACUCCUCCCCCUCAAGCACGGCUGAGUUUCCACAGCGGCCCUGGACUUUGAUUCUGAGCACGAAGAAGGGGACAGGAGAGGUGUGACGUGGGAGAGGAGCGAGUUUGUAGCGAGGAAAGUUCAUCCACCAAGUUCCUGAGUAUUUGUUCUUGUGAAACUGAGGAUUACUUCUCAAUAUGUUUUAACAGCAAGACUUGUAAUUUAAAAUGAAUGCACAUUCAAAUGAAUCAUAAAAAAAACAUAUAUGUACUGGAAUCACUGACGUUACCGCUAAUGGCUUUAACAUUAACAAACGUCACGCUUCAUCGGAACCCCCCCAAUUUCAUUUUGUUAAAUACAUUAAUCUCAUGAAUGUGACAAAGAUUCAUCUAUAGAAAUUAUCUGUGACACCCCAGUUGAACUAAUGAUAA
Long non-coding RNA from Acanthopagrus latus (yellowfin seabream), 9456 nucleotides. RefSeq lists it as uncharacterized. Lineage: Eukaryota; Metazoa; Chordata; Actinopteri; Spariformes; Sparidae. The record is from RefSeq and is a predicted model, not a curated record. The transcript has 4 exons.